GAUCUGCUACACUCUUCCUGCCCUGAUCCUGCCAUGGGCACCAGGCUCCUCUGCUGGGUGGCCCUCUGUCUCCUGGGGGCGGAUCACACAGAUGCUGGAGUCUCCCAGUCUCCCAGAUACAAGGUUACAGAGAGGGGGCGGAAUGUAGCACUCAGGUGUUAUCCAAGUUCUGGUCAUACUGCCCUUUUUUGGUACCAAUGGACCCUGGGGCAGGGCCCAGAGUUUCUGAUUUAUUUCCAAGGCAAAGAUGCAGCAGACACCUCAGGGCUGCCUGGUGAUCGGUUCUCUGCCGAGUGGCCUGAGGGAUCCUUCUCCACUCUGAAGAUACAGCCCACAGAGGAGGGAGACUCGGCUUUGUAUCUCCGUGCCAGCAGUUUAGCCACAGAGUAA
This is a non-coding RNA of Carlito syrichta (Philippine tarsier), 390 nucleotides long. The record is from the annotation of a RefSeq genome assembly. NCBI's taxonomy places the organism in Eukaryota, Metazoa, Chordata, Mammalia, Primates, Tarsiidae.